GGGGUGCUCGAGUGGCGAACGGGUGAGUAACACGUGAGUAACCUGCCCUUGACUUUGGGAUAACUUCAGGAAACUGGGGCUAAUACCGGAUAGGAGCCCCUGCUGCAUGGUGGGGGUUGGAAAGUUUCGGCGGUUGGGGAUGGACUCGCGGCUUAUCAGCUUGUUUGUGGGGUAGUGGCUUACCAAGGCUUCGACGGGUAGCCGGCCUGAGAGGGUGACCGGCCACAUUGGGACUGAGAUACGGCCCAG
Molecule: ribosomal RNA, 249 nt
Filed under: uncultured Actinomycetales bacterium
Lineage: Bacteria; Bacillati; Actinomycetota; Actinomycetes; Actinomycetales
Description: partial 16S ribosomal RNA
Rfam family: Bacterial small subunit ribosomal RNA
Source: RNAcentral